GUUGGUUUUACAGACACUCGCUAAGAGGGAGAAGCAUCCCUGCGCGCGGCACGUUGGACGGACAGUGAACUCUGCCCCAGGAUGCUUACUGCUUCUAGGAGGAGAAGGAAGUCAGAAAUGACAGAAAAGCUGGGGGAUCUGAUAGCGGAGGUGCUGCAGUGGCCGGUACUCACACAGCUUGCAGAGGGGAUCGGCCCGGACUGCUGUCGCUCUCGUUGCUGUUGGUG
Long non-coding RNA from Cervus elaphus (red deer), 227 nucleotides. RefSeq lists it as uncharacterized. Lineage: Eukaryota; Metazoa; Chordata; Mammalia; Artiodactyla; Cervidae. The transcript is spliced from 3 exons. The record is from RefSeq and is a predicted model, not a curated record.